This 490-nucleotide ribosomal RNA is filed under the name uncultured bacterium. RNAcentral describes it as "bacterial SSU rRNA". It matches the Rfam family "Bacterial small subunit ribosomal RNA", at positions 903 to 1397 of the family's 1533-position model. The record is from RNAcentral.
AAAUGAAUAGACGGGGCCCCGCACAAGCAGUGGAGUAUGUGGUUUAAUUCGACGCAACGCGAAGAACCUUACCAGGUCUUGACAUCCUAGGAAUCCUUUAGAGAUAAGGGAGUGCCCUUCGGGGAACCUAGAGACAGGUGGUGCAUGGUUGUCGUCAGCUCGUGUCGUGAGAUGUUGGGUUAAGUCCCGCAACGAGCGCAACCCCUAUGAUUAGUUGCUACGCAAGAGCACUCUAGUCAGACUGCCGUUGACAAAACGGAGGAAGGUGGGGAUGACGUCAAAUCAUCAUGCCCUUUAUGACCUGGGCUACACACGUACUACAAUGGUCGUUAACAGAGGGAAGCAAUCCCGCGAGGAGGAGCAAACCCCUAAAAACGAUCUCAGUUCAGAUUGCAGGCUGCAACUCGCCUGCAUGAAGUUGGAAUUGCUAGUAAUCGUGGAUCAGCAUGCCACGGUGAAUACGUUCCCGGGGCUUGUACACACCGCCCGU